RNAcentral lists this unclassified non-coding RNA (553 nucleotides) under Hevea brasiliensis (rubber tree). Lineage: Eukaryota; Viridiplantae; Streptophyta; Magnoliopsida; Malpighiales; Euphorbiaceae. The record is from RNAcentral.
UGAAUAUGUUGAGCAAAAGAUUCAAUAGUUUGUGAAACACGAAUAUGAGGUGGAAGAGGAACAAGGUCAAUUGGGGGGUACGAGGGAAUACCAAUUAACAAUCUCAAAAGGGCUUUUACCUGUAGAAUGGUUUACAAAAUUGUUAUAGGUGAACUCUGCAAUAGGAAGAAUCUAUCCCAAUUGCCUUACUUUUCUCCUACAAGACACCUAUUCAAAACAUCCAAAGUAUGAUUUACAACUUCAGUUUGACCAUUUGUUUGAGGGUGAAAAUCUAAAGAAAAUUUAAAUUUAGUGCCAAACAACCUCAAAAAAUGUCUUCCAAAAGUAAUUAACAAACUUGGCAUACCUAUCAGACUAUAGAAGAAAGUAAACUAUGCAAUUUGACAACUUCUCUAAAGAACAAUGCAUGUGAAGCAUCAUGUGUUUUAUUACAUGGAAUGAAAUGUGCCCUCUCAAUGAUGCUACUUGAUUUAUGCUCAGAGCGCUUAACUGAAUUUGUGUGAUGAAAUUACUCUUUUUUUUCCCUCUCCAGUUCCAAGCAUUGCGUUCGAUG